This 430-nucleotide ribosomal RNA is filed under the name uncultured bacterium. RNAcentral's name for it is "bacterial SSU rRNA". It matches the Rfam family "Bacterial small subunit ribosomal RNA", at positions 917 to 1345 of the family's 1533-position model. The record is from RNAcentral.
GGACCCGCACAAGUAGUGGAGCAUGUGGUUUAAUUCGAAGAUACGCGCAGAACCUUACCAACACUUGACAUGUUCGUCGCGACUUUAAGAGAUUAAAGUUUUCGGUUCGGCCGGACGAAACACAGGUGCUGCAUGGCUGUCGUCAGCUCGUGUCGUGAGAUGUUGGGUUAAGUCCCGCAACGAGCGCAACCCUCACUUUUAGUUGCCAUCAUUAAGUUGGGCACUCUGAAAGAACUGCCAGUGAUAAGCUGGAGGAAGGUGGGGAUGACGUCAAGUCCUCAUGGCCCUUACGUGUUGGGCUACACACGUGCUACAAUGGUAUCUACAACAGGAAGCAAAACGGCGACGUUAAGCAAAUCCUUAAAAGAUGUCUCAGUUCGGAUUGUCGUCUGCAACUCGACGGCAUGAAGUCGGAAUCGCUAGUAAUCGC